AGUGAACGCUGGCGGUAGGCCUAACACAUGCAAGUCGAACGGCAGCACAGUAAGAGCUUGCUCUUACGGGUGGCGAGUGGCGGACGGGUGAGGAAUACAUCGGAAUCUACUUUUUCGAGGGGGCUAACGUAGGGAAACUUACGCUAAUACCGCUUACGACCUACGGGUGAAAGCAGGGGAUCUUCGGACCUUGCGCGAUUGAAUGAGCCGAUGUCGGAUUAGCUAGUUGGCGGGGUAAAGGCCCACCAAGGCGACGAUCCGUAGCUGGUCUGAGAGGAUGAAUAGCUACACCGGAACUGGAGCACGGUCCAAGCUCCUACGGGAGGCAACAGGGGGGAAUAUUGGACAAUUGGCGCAAGCCUGGUCCAGCCAUACCGGGUGGGGGAAAAAGGCUUUCGGGUUUGAAAGCCCUUUUGUUGGGAAAGAAAGGCAGCAGGGUAAUACCCCGCUGGUCUGACGGUACCCAAAGAAUAAGCACCGGCUAACUUCGGU
Molecule: ribosomal RNA, 492 nt
Filed under: uncultured bacterium
Lineage: Bacteria
Description: partial 16S ribosomal RNA
Rfam family: Bacterial small subunit ribosomal RNA
Source: RNAcentral